GUUUGAUUUAUUGAGACAGUGCAAACUGUAGCUUGCAAGCAUUUGAACAGUAAAUAAAGUGCAGUAUUACAAUGAACAAUGGAGCGUUAACAAGUGCAGCAAGUGGAUUUUUCUGAACACAUUCUUUGACAGCUUUUUAAGCUGGACACUGAACAUGAGCUAGCCAGUCUAGCCACUAGGUAAGUAAACAUGGUACCAUGGCUUCUCCAAAACAGCCAAUAAUUCAAGUCACAAAGAACAACAUUUAAACAUUUACCAUAAAAUGUACCCAUCGUAGCAGAGUAGUUUAAGGCCUGUAGGCCUACAAGGGUCAAAGACGUUACGCUUGCUUUUUCUGUCCGACAGGACUUUUUACCUAAUAAUAAACAUUAAAAUGAAUAAAAAUAUAACAUGUAUGCCUAAUACCUUCCUUAUACAUGUGCCCACUCUUAUUUCUUUAAACUUGUUGGUUAUUGGUCAUUUUCUACCAUCUGAAAUGUGAAAACAUCAUGUGGGGCGACCGUCCGGCCUUGACUUCUGUUUGGACAACUGGUUUUGAAUCACAUUAAAACAAUUUAAAUAUAAUCCUUGCCCUAUUUGGCAUAAUUUCAAACUUGUUUUCCAUUUAUUGACAAAGUUAUGAGGCAUUUGUACAUACAUUUCAAUCAUAAUACACAAACAAAUCUUGUCUGAGUAUGUUCAUUGUCUGAAAUAUCAUCCGGGGCGACCAUCGAGAAAAUACAAUUAUGGGACUUUUAUUUUGACAAUCAUCUAAAGGAGGAUGUUGCAUCAGCCAGCCACACCCUGAGGGUCCCAGAGAGACAACUUGCAGAUGGCCCCUCUAACAAGCAAACAAAAGACUGCUCGCUACAGGCAGUGGAUCAAUGCAGACCCUGCAGCAAGAGCUGACUACCUUGCCAGGAAAAAUGCUACCAGAGAAGAAAGCAACAGGGCAACUGACACCACCAUCUUUAGAGAACACUCCAACAGUUCUAGUUGGUAUAGAGGUCAAUAAGCAGCAGGAUAAUCCAGGGCAAGUUGUGGUGAAUCCCUUACAAGGAAUUUAACCCACCGGUGUCCUCUACACCAGAGAGAGAAAGAGAGAAUACACCAGUUCAACUGGCUGCGCCAGGCAGAGCAGUUCCGCCUCCUCAAACAAAACAUCAUGGAGUGUGAAGCUGUUCUGCAUAUCGACUUUUCUGAAAACUAUGCCUGCAAGCUAAGCACAGAGAUCCAGUCUUUUCACUUUGGAGGCAGUAGACGACAGGCUACUAUUCACACGGCAGUCCUGUACACUGUCCAUGGAACCAAGUCUUAUGCAACACUGUCUGACUGCCUUCGACAUGAUGAAUGGGCAGUGUGGGCACAUCUAGAGCCUAUCUUGAAAGAGCUUCGGAAAACCUUCCCACAAAUCACUACCCUCCACAUUCUGAGUGAUGGGCCUGUUACACAGUACCGUAACAAAAAUAACUUUUACUUGCUCAGUACUGUGCCUUUCCUCUCAGCAAUCAAAAAUGUGACCUGGAAUUACUCAGAAAAAUCCCAUGGAAAAGGGGCCCCAGAUGGGAUUGGUGGGACAAUAAUGGGUGAUAAGCGAGAGCAUCGAAAAAUGUGACGAGUUGAUUCCUGGCAACUUGGAGGCUGUGAAAGGCACCAUGAAGUUCCACCAAGAUGUGUCAUCACAGCCUGCAAAGAUCACGCACAGGGAGGUGUCUUGCUUCUGUAAGCACUUAGAGACGAGUCCAUGCCCUUGUUACCAGACAGUAACUGUAGACCAGAAAGCCACCAUACGCCAAACUGAGAAACCUGAGCCACCCAGUGAACAAGACAGUGUGCUAACUGACAACCCCUCAAGCUCUCCACCUGAGCCACCCAGGGAACAAUAAAGUGUCCUAGAUCUGUGUGGCAGGUUUGUGAUAGUAACCUACGAUGAGCUUCCAUAUGUAGGCCAGGUCCUAAAGGUUGCGGAAGAGGAGCUGCAGAUCAGCUGUAUGCGACAGUCUGAUGACAAGAACUUGUUCUUGUGGCCACAAACUCCAGAUGUUACUUUCUACUUUUGGAAAGAUGUUCACGCUGUAAUUUCAGAGCCUGAGCCAGCAACAUCACGCUUCUCGAAGUUGACGUGCCAAGACUGAGUAAAGUUCAGAAAUGCCUGGGGUUAAAGAAAUGCCUCCAGAUUAAGCCUACAACGUGUCUGGAGUUAGGAGUUAUGUAAUAGUGAGGAACAUGCUAAUGUUAUGUUUGUGUCAAAUGAAAAAGAAAUAGUUAUGUGCUGAUUCUUUUAUAAAAAAAAAUAAAUUUGUCUCAACUCUGUAAAUUAUUGAAUAGCCUUAACUGCCUGCUGUUUCUCAUCAUUUGGGGUGACCACCUGUCAUGUGGGGUAACCAAUGAUUGGCAAUUCUGUACUAAAUUCAAAAUUUAAUGUCUAUCAGUUUUGGUUGAAAUAUUAAUCAUUGGUAUAGCAUACAUACGUGGAUACUAUCUAUACACAUUUUAAAUCAGUUUUAUGAAUUCUAGAGUAAGAAAUGUAUAUGUAACGGCUUUAUGAGGGAGACACUGCCAUUAUAGAUAAAAUAUAAUUUAAAAAUGGUUUACAAAAAAUGAAAGGACACAGGAGAAUCUUUCAUAAACAGUUCAUUUAAUUACUGAUACUUAUUAAAAUACAAGUUAUGUUAAGGAAAUCUAUUAAUUUUGAGGUAAAUAACGGUCGCCCCAAAUGACUUUUUUAAGGUUGUUGCCCUAUUAAUUUAAGUUUAAAAACACUAAAAUAUCUUUGAAGUUUUCACAUACAUGCAUGAGUACACUACAUUCCAAAUGUUUGGAAAAUGGCCAAAUAUAUCUUUAAGUAUUUUGCAAAUGGGCCACUCAAAGGUCUUAUCCCUCUUUGACCCACAAGUAUGUGAGGUAGCCACUCUAGCCACCAGGACAGUAAAAAUAAACUAUGG
This is a long non-coding RNA of Acanthopagrus latus (yellowfin seabream), 2924 nucleotides long. RefSeq lists it as uncharacterized. NCBI's taxonomy places the organism in Eukaryota, Metazoa, Chordata, Actinopteri, Spariformes, Sparidae. The record is from RefSeq and is a predicted model, not a curated record. The transcript has 3 exons.